Molecule: ribosomal RNA, 269 nt
Filed under: Healyella sp. MPL-2014
Lineage: Eukaryota; Metazoa; Annelida; Clitellata; Crassiclitellata; Lumbricidae
Description: partial 16S ribosomal RNA
Rfam family: Bacterial large subunit ribosomal RNA
Source: RNAcentral
GCUAAUCCCACUAAAGAGUCCUUAUCUAUAGCGGGGGUUGGCACCUCGAUGUUGGCUUAGGGAAUCUAUGUGGCGCAAAAGUCACAUAAAGAUGGUUUGUUCAACCAAUAACACCCUACAUGAGCUGAGUUCAGACCGGCGUAAGCCAGGUUAGUUUCUAUCCUCGACAUAUAACACUACUUAUAGUACGAAAGGACCUAAGUAAGAAUAAUAAUUACAAUUAACGAAUAAAUAUAAUAACCAAUAAAUUCAAAUUAUCCUAUACUAGG